UAGGGAAUCUUCGGCAAUGGACGGAAGUCUGACCGAGCAACGCCGCGUGAGUGAAGAAGGUUUUCGGAUCGUAAAGCUCUGUUGUAAGAGAAGAACGAGUGUGAGAGUGGAAAGUUCACACUGUGACGGUAUCUUACCAGAAAGGGACGGCUAACUACGUGCCAGCAGCCGCGGUAAUACGUAGGUCCCGAGCGUUGUCCGGAUUUAUUGGGCGUAAAGCGAGCGCAGGCGGUUAGAUAAGUCUGAAGUUAAAGGCUGUGGCUUAACCAUAGUAGGCUUUGGAAACUGUUUAACUUGAGUGCAAGAGGGGAGAGUGGAAUUCCAUGUGUAGCGGUGAAAUGCGUAGAUAUAUGGAGGAACACCGGUGGCGAAAGCGGCUCUCUGGCUUGUAACUGACGCUGAGGCUCGAAAGCGUGGGGAGCAAACAGGAUUAGAUACCCUGGUAGUCCAUGCUGUAAACGAUGAGUGCUAGGUGUUAGACCCUUUCCGGGGUUUAGUGCCGUAGCUAACGCAUUAAGCACUCCGCCUGGGGAGUACGACCGCAAGGUUG
This 550-nucleotide ribosomal RNA is filed under the name uncultured bacterium. Its description in RNAcentral is "bacterial SSU rRNA". It matches the Rfam family "Bacterial small subunit ribosomal RNA", at positions 355 to 896 of the family's 1533-position model. The record is from RNAcentral.